CAGCUGCUAGGGAUCCGAGAGCUAGUGCCAAAUUUUAUACAGUGGUUCAGGAGGACAUGUACGAGGCUCUUGUUCGCUCACAGGCUCAGUUCAAAGAACACAGGGUACUUGAUCAUGAGAUUCUAGGGAACGUGGUCGGUGCAGAUAUCAGGGAGUACUUCACUUAUCUCCAUGGUCUCCCAGAGUUACUUGCUCUACCU
This 200-nucleotide long non-coding RNA is filed under the name Sorghum bicolor (sorghum). RNAcentral describes it as "long non-coding RNA (SBIC_LNC002386)". The record is from RNAcentral. Lineage: Eukaryota; Viridiplantae; Streptophyta; Magnoliopsida; Poales; Poaceae.